RNAcentral lists this ribosomal RNA (399 nucleotides) under uncultured bacterium. Its description in RNAcentral is "bacterial SSU rRNA". It matches the Rfam family "Bacterial small subunit ribosomal RNA", at positions 356 to 773 of the family's 1533-position model. The record is from RNAcentral.
GGGGAAUUUUGCGCAAUGGGGGAAACCCUGACGCAGCAACGCCGCGUGCGGGACGAAGGCCUUCGGGUUGUAAACCGCUUUCAGCAGGGAAUAUAGUGAAGGUACCUGCAGAAGAAGCUCCGGCUAACUACGUGCCAGCAGCCGCGGUAAUACGUAGGGAGCGAGCGUUAUCCGGAUUCAUUGGGCGUAAAGCGCGCGUAGGCGGCCCGUCAAGCGGGGUUUCAAAUCCAGGGGCUCAACCUCUGGCCGGACCCCGAACUGGCGGGCUCGAGUGCGGUAGAGGAAGGUGGAAUUCCCAGUGUAGCGGUGAAAUGCGCAGAUAUUGGGAAGAACACCGAUGGCGAAGGCAGCCUUCUGGGCCGCCACUGACGCUGAGGCGCGAAAGCUAGGGGAGCGAAC